Molecule: long non-coding RNA, 228 nt
Filed under: Ananas comosus (pineapple)
Lineage: Eukaryota; Viridiplantae; Streptophyta; Magnoliopsida; Poales; Bromeliaceae
Description: long non-coding RNA (ACOM_LNC031925)
Source: RNAcentral
CCAUAUUAUCCAUGCAAUCUCAUUUCUUUUUGUUUAAUAUUUCUAUAUUUUACCGACCGUCUCUAGCGCAAGUGGUAAAGGACUUGGUGGUUGGUAUUCAAGGUACCAAGUUUGAAUCCUAAUUAAUUCAUAUUUUUAGCUAAAUUUAUUUCUAAAUAAUUAAAUGAAUGAAGCCGGUGGCAUACUAUCUUUCUCUCUCAACAAAAAAAUAUUUCUAUAUUUUGAAAU